UCACCAUCCACAUUUUCUGAUGACACGACUUUACCGUAUAGAGCAAUCUCUUUCUCUUGCUUUCUCUGGAAAUGCAUAAAAUGACACUGCAGUGGAGAUUAGUGACUAAGCCGGAGGACUGGAUGCUCUUGAUCUUCUGAUAUCUAAAAUGCGGGCCUCGACAUCUUCUUUAUCCAGACAGGAGCAUGCUGCAUAGUUGCUUUUGCAUCUCUUCUGACUAGUUGCUGGCUAUGUUGCCGUUUGUCUCUCCGUCCUGCAUGUCGUGGUAGUGGCCUGGGUACCCUGUAUCUCUUACUCUAAAACUUUGGGUGGGUCCUUGUAUGGGACACCAUUGUGUUCGUAUGUCUGGUUGGAUGGUUCGUCUGGAACUUUGCCUAGUGGCUUUAUUUGUAAAGUCGGGGCAUGCCUUUUCUCUAAAAAAGUAAUGCAACUUCAUUA
Molecule: long non-coding RNA, 438 nt
Organism: Triticum aestivum (bread wheat)
Lineage: Eukaryota; Viridiplantae; Streptophyta; Magnoliopsida; Poales; Poaceae
Exons: 2
Source: RefSeq, a predicted model, not a curated record